RNAcentral lists this microRNA precursor (69 nucleotides) under Chlorocebus sabaeus (green monkey). Its description in RNAcentral is "miRNA (ENSCSAG00000026857.1)". Lineage: Eukaryota; Metazoa; Chordata; Mammalia; Primates; Cercopithecidae. The record is from RNAcentral.
GUAGAGAUGGGGUUUCACCAUGUUGGCCAGGCUGGUCUUGAACUCCUGACCUCAGGUGAUCCACCCACC